AGAGUUUGAUCCUGGCUCAGAGCGAACGCUGGCGGCAGGCUUAACACAUGCAAGUCGAGCGGGCGUAGCAAUACGUCAGCGGCAGACGGGUGAGUAACGCGUGGGAACGUACCUUUUGGUUCGGAACAACCCAGGGAAACUUGGGCUAAUACCGGAUAAGCCCUUACGGGGAAAGAUUUAUCGCCGAAAGAUCGGCCCGCGUCUGAUUAGCUAGUUGGUGAGGUAAUGGCUCACCAAGGCGACGAUCAGUAGCUGGUCUGAGAGGAUGAUCAGCCACAUUGGGACUGAGACACGGCCCAAACUCCUACGGGAGGCAGCAGUGGGGAAUAUUGGACAAUGGGCGCAAGCCUGAUCCAGCCAUGCCGCGUGAGUGAUGAAGGCCCUAGGGUUGUAAAGCUCUUUUGUGCGGGAAGAUAAUGACGGUACCGCAAGAAUAAGCCCCGGCUAACUUCGUGCCAGCAGCCGCGGUAAUACGAAGGGGGCUAGCGUUGCUCGGAAUCACUGGGCGUAAAGGGUGCGUAGGCGGGUCUUUAAGUCAGGGGUGAAAUCCUGGAGCUCAACUCCAGAACUGCCUUUGAUACUGAGGAUCUUGAGUUCGGGAGAGGUGAGUGGAACUGCGAGUGUAGAGGUGAAAUUCGUAGAUAUUCGCAAGAACACCAGUGGCGAAGGCGGCUCACUGGCCCGAUACUGACGCUGAGGCACGAAAGCGUGGGGAGCAAACAGGAUUAGAUACCCCUGUAGUCC
This 744-nucleotide ribosomal RNA is filed under the name uncultured bacterium. RNAcentral's name for it is "bacterial SSU rRNA". It matches the Rfam family "Bacterial small subunit ribosomal RNA", at positions 8 to 796 of the family's 1533-position model. The record is from RNAcentral.